This 28-nucleotide non-coding RNA is filed under the name Homo sapiens (human). Lineage: Eukaryota; Metazoa; Chordata; Mammalia; Primates; Hominidae. The record is from RNAcentral.
GCUUUACUUAUGUGUAGAUGAAUCCUGG